AACGAACGCUGGCGGCAUGCCUAACACAUGCAAGUCGAACGAGACCUUCGGGUCUAGUGGCGCACGGGUGCGUAACGCGUGGGAACCUGCCCUUAGGUUCGGAAUAACUCCCCGAAAGGGGUGCUAAUACCGGAUAAUGUCUUCGGACCAAAGAUUUAUGGCCUUUGGAUGGGCCCGCGUUGGAUUAGCGAGUUGGUAGGGUAAAAGCAUACCAAGGCGACGAUCCAUAGCUGGUCUGAGAGGAUGAGCAGCCACACUGGGACUGAGACACGGCCCAGACUCCUACGGGAGGCAGCAGUGGGGAAUAUUGGACAAUGGGCGAAAGCCUGAUCCAGCAAUGCCGCGUGAGUGAUGAAGGCCUUAGGGUUGUAAAGCUCUUUUACCCGGGAUGAUAAUGACAGUACCGGGAGAAUAAGCUCCGGCUAACUCCGUG
This 433-nucleotide ribosomal RNA is filed under the name uncultured bacterium. Its description in RNAcentral is "partial 16S ribosomal RNA". It matches the Rfam family "Bacterial small subunit ribosomal RNA", at positions 29 to 507 of the family's 1533-position model. The record is from RNAcentral.